This 484-nucleotide long non-coding RNA is filed under the name Olea europaea subsp. europaea. The record is from RNAcentral. Lineage: Eukaryota; Viridiplantae; Streptophyta; Magnoliopsida; Lamiales; Oleaceae.
AUUCUAACUAGGGAAUCCUAUAAUCAAGCUAUCAAUUCCUAUAAUUAAGCAUCUAUUUACAUAAAGAAUCGAAAAAAUAUUCCGAAGCUUGUAAGUUUGAAAAGAAUUGAGGAUUGAUGAAGAAUACCAUUCUAAAGCAUUAAGUUUGAAAAGAAUCGAAAAAAUAUUCUUUGACAUUAUCACUUCUCAAUGUCUGUACAGUAACAUUAAACUGAGUUCGAAUUUCAACACAAAGGACCCUAAAAUGAGAAAAUAAUUCAGAAUGAUUCUUGAUUAAAUAUGGCCCUGUUUGAUAGCCUUGAUUUUCCAUGGAAAAUGGAAAAUAUUUUCCAUUUUCCACCCAAUUUGUGUUGUUUGAUUGCUAAAAAUUUUCAUGGAAUUUGUUUUCCAACUUCUCUUCGCACAUGUGCCAAUUCUAUGGUUUUGUGGAAAAUUCCAGCAACUUUUUUUAUUUUUUAUUUUUUGCAAUUGGAACAAAUUCUAU